Molecule: non-coding RNA, 95 nt
Filed under: Bacillus massilinigeriensis
Lineage: Bacteria; Bacillati; Bacillota; Bacilli; Caryophanales; Bacillaceae
Description: Purine riboswitch
Rfam family: Purine riboswitch aptamer
About the family: Riboswitches are metabolite binding domains within certain messenger RNAs that serve as precision sensors for their corresponding targets.
Source: RNAcentral
AAUAUGGAAGAAACACCCUCGUAUAAUAAUGGGAAUAUGGCCCAUAAGUCUCUACCCGAUGACCGUAAAUUAUCGGACUAUGAGGGAAAGGAAUA